This is a long non-coding RNA of Homo sapiens (human), 2058 nucleotides long. RefSeq annotates it as SAMD4A antisense RNA 1. NCBI's taxonomy places the organism in Eukaryota, Metazoa, Chordata, Mammalia, Primates, Hominidae. The record is from RefSeq and is marked validated. The transcript has 3 exons.
GACAGCAGCCCAGCCCCAUUCAGGGACACGUGGCCCUGAUUUGAGCUCCUGUGACAUCACGCUCCCUCCACUUAUCUUACAUGUCACAUCUCAAACAUUUAACAUUUUACAUCUCAAACAUUUCUUGAGGCCCUUACCCUCCCAUUCCCCCAAAUCAAUACGGCACUUAGGGGACACCAAGGCGCAGAGACACUUGCCCCAAAUCAUGCAGUAAUGCCCUGGUGCCACCGUGAACAGUGCUGAAGCUUCCUGACCCCUUGUCCAGGGGACCUGGCUGCCUUUUAUAGAAAGUUUCCACACACCUUCUAUUCCUAACCUCGAUCACAAGCAUCGCCGGCCCAGAUGCUCUGUGUCACCGGCUUAGUAACAUACCCCAUUUAGGAGCAUGAGCACAACUUGUUUGCAGUGGGAAUGAAUUAACUGAAUUCUAGAUAUUGUUUUUUGGCUGCCUUUUUUUGUUUGUUUUUAUUUCAAACACAGCUAACUAAUCAGGGCUGUGGACACCAAGAAUGCCAACUUUGAUUCUUCAAGGAAAAUCAGCAGCUGACCACACACCACCCUUCCUGGUCCUCCCCGAGAUGCCAAGAACAUCCAAAGUCUGCAGUUUUGAGGAAACUGAAGCUGAUCUGACACCACUUCCUUUUUCUCCAGAUGUUACCCUUCGGAUGCAUACCUCAAUCUGCCUGAAAAUCAUGGAAUUCUGGAGAUGGAAGGGACCUCAGAGAUUUUCUGGUUCUCUCUGUUCUGGUUGUGGUAUGAUUUCCAGGCCCCUGCAGCUUCCUGGCCACCCUCCUCUGGCUACACUUAAUGCCUCUUUGAAAACCUGGUACCCAGAACUGAAUGGUGGACUGCGCUCAGCUUCUCCUUCCAGGUCCCGCCCUGAGGCACCCGGCUUAACCCCCAAGUCAAACGCUGCACAGAGCAGGCCUGCUGCCUGCCCACUCUGGCUACCAGGCCAAAGGCCCAGGUCUGGAAGAAUAAAAAGAUGCCACCACCCUACUACCUUGCUGCUGCUCCAUCCCCAGACAGCUGUGGGCAGCUGCAGCUGAGAAGUGAAACUAACAACAGCAUCUGGGGGAGGGGGCGGCACCCAGCUGAGCCCUUUCCAUAGGUUUCCCGUUUCUGGUUGGGGGGGGGGGCGGGGGUGUCUGGCCAAUGGAAACAGGGCAGGCCCUCAGGGAUGCCUCUUAUCAGCAACCCACUGGAAGUCUGUAACCCCCUUCAUGGUACGGUGUGCAGGGCAGGGAUGGGAGGCACAGCUAGAUGUGUGCAGCCCCAGCCUAAGCCAGGCCUGUUGGGCACCACAAUGGGCUCACCCGCCUCGGUCCAUCUGGAAAAGGUUUGAAAGCUUGAGGCAGGAAAGUUCCCUUUUGCAUUUUAAAGUGUGUUGAAACUGAGUAGCCUGGGUGUUGGUCUCAUUCCACAAGUGAGUAAUCCAUUUCCUGAAAGUAAGCUGCUCCCCCUUUGGAAGUGGCCCAGCGAUUUGGGGGUGCUGUUAGAGGUGUCACUAACUCGGUAAAUAUUUAUUGGCACAAGCAAGGAGCUUUUCUAGGAAUAUCAGUUAAUUUGCUAAACUAAUGGCUUUAAGGUAGCACCCUUGAAAAAAAUUAAUUCCUUUCUGAUGGGUGAGCAAUUUAUGCCUGGGACAGGGCACCAGACAGGCAGUGUGUUUCACUUACUAGUUAGAAUAACCACAAAUAAAUUAAAACCAGGCCUGACUUUAAAAUCUCUACCUUCUUCCUUUUCUUGACUCCUGAUUUUCUAUUAAUAUCUGAGCCAGUAAUGGAUUGACUUUGGAAAACUCUUUUCUAUGGCAAUAUUUUGCUGGGAGUUUGAAAUGAUGGGGUUUGAAAACUCCCUUUCCUGUGAGUCUUUUGGCUUCUGGGAUCCCAUACGGAUGAUCUCAUAUAUCUACCCCUCACUAAGACUGUGCCCACCUGGAUCUAUCUGGAGACGUGCCUCCUGUUCUUCUGUGUAGAGCAAUUUAGACUUUCAUCACCUGGCUUGAAAAAGCCUUUUGCCUUGAAGAAUAAAAACUUGGUUUCUUUAUGGCUCAAA